GAUGAACGCUGGCGGCGUGCCUAAUACAUGCAAGUCGAGCGAACAGACGAGUAGCUUGCUCCUCUGAUGUUAGCGGCGGACGGGUGAGUAACACGUGGAUAACCUACCUAUAAGACUGGGAUAACUUCGGGAAACCGGAGCUAAUACCGGAUCAUAUCUUGAACCGCAUGGUUCAAUAGUGAAAGACGGUUUUGCUGUCACUUAUAGAUGGAUCCGCGCGGCAUUAGCUAGUUUGUAAGGUAACGGCUUACCAAGGCAGCGAUGGGUAGCCGACCUGAGAGGGUGAUCGGCCACACUGGCACUGAGAGACGGUCCAGACUCCUACGGGAGGCAGCAGUAGGGAAGCUUCCGCAAUGGGCGAAAGCCUGACGGAGCAACGCCGCGUGAGUGAUGAAGGUCUUCGGAUCGGAAAACGCUGUUAUUAGGGAAGAACAAAUGUGUAAGUAACUAUGCACGUCUUGACGGUACCUAAUCAGAAAGCCACGGCUAACUACGUG
Molecule: ribosomal RNA, 497 nt
Filed under: uncultured bacterium
Lineage: Bacteria
Description: partial 16S ribosomal RNA
Rfam family: Bacterial small subunit ribosomal RNA
Source: RNAcentral